This is a long non-coding RNA of Papilio polytes (common Mormon), 2003 nucleotides long. RefSeq lists it as uncharacterized. Lineage: Eukaryota; Metazoa; Arthropoda; Insecta; Lepidoptera; Papilionidae. The transcript is spliced from 2 exons. The record is from RefSeq and is a predicted model, not a curated record.
AAAAUUUUUAUUUAAAACUGUAUGAAAUUACAAGAAUGUCAUGAAUAAGUUUUUAAAACUAUCAAAAAAUUGAAAUCCGUUUGAAGAUUCAAUGUAGUUUAUUAGCAAACGAAAGAAAAUGAAAACGUUAAUAAAAAUUAAAACGUUCUCGUUUAUAUUUGCAGGUAAAUUGCUUCGUUACAAUUAUUAAGCUUAUACGCCCGGUCGACUUAUUGAUUGGUGCUCUGGAGCGCUAUUGGGGAUAUCGGCCACUUCCUGCAUGCGCUAGCGUCCCGGGCCGGGCGGCGCGGGGAGGCUGGCAGCUCGCCCAAGGACGCCUAGGCAACCUAGGACGUCGCGGUCAAGGUCGGGUCACAUCUAGACUUGCGCAAUCGACCUAUCAGAAAUAUGAUUAAGCUAACCUUGAAGCUACCUAUUGUAUGUAAUAAAGAUUAUUUUAUUGAUAUCGGUCAUCAUUGAUGUCAAUAACCGUCUUUUUAUCGAUAUCGAUGCGAUGUUAUUUUGGUAAUUUUUUAUUUUAUUAUGCACAGAUAAGCUAAAAAUUAUUGUGUACGUUUUACUCAUCCAUUUACACUAUUAAGAAAAAGCAUGAGCCAAAAUAAUAUUUUUUAAACCAGCUUUAACGUUAUGUCUAACUACAGACAAAAUAGUUGCAAUCGCAUUCGUACUUUCUACGGAUUUGCGAAAAUUCUACACGUGAAAAAAACAUAUAAAAAAGCAAAGUAAUGAGAUCGCGUGUAGUUGCGAGGCGUGUCGUGAAUUACAAUAGCCGGGGGCGAUCACCGCUGUUACGACAUUAGAAAGCCACCACGGUCGACGGUCGCACCGGCGAAAGUUAGCAUACGUGCGCGCGAUGGCCGCGUGAGCCAUGCGUGUACCGCUUACCGCCGCAAGAUGUCGCUGUAUAAGAUGAAAGUGAUAGCAAAACGCCUAUUUAACCCUUGCAGUGGGUAUACCUUUCAACAAUUCGGAUUAACUUUCAACACAUAUGGUUAAUACGAUAAACAAAUUGUGUUUUUUUCAGGCAUGAAAAAAUGAUAUAUCUCAAUGUUUAUAAUUUGGGAUUAUUGUAAUUGUCAGUAAUGUAAUAUCAUUUUGCUUGUUUACGUUCCUCAGUAUUUAUGAGAUGAAAGUGAUGGCCCAACGCCUACGUUUGACCUUUCCUCUCAACCCGGUUAUAUGGUUUUUAAUUUUACUGCCUCUGCCUUUUAAUAUUGUGAAUCAGAUAAAAUUUACCAAAAGCCGUGUUUAUAUCUUUUCCGUUGUCGAAAUCGGUCUUCGAUUCUUGUUUUUUUUUGUUAAUUUCUCUUAUGAUUCAGAAAUAUUCAACUUUACGAUCAGUCCGGUUGCAAAACAGUUUACAAGAAACUUGAGAAAUAUCCGCUUUAUAUUAUAAGAAAUUUAAAUGACUAUUACAACACUAACUACGAAAUAAAAAAAAUAUAAAGCCCAUAAAUGUUUAAAUAUAAAAACAAAAACGAAUCAACAUUGCAGCAAAUUAACUUCAUAAAUACAACUUACUUGUUUAUGCUUUCCGCUUUACUUUUCAUUAUUAUUACUUCGUUUCUAUUCCCAGUAAUUCCCUAUCAGUCGAGUUUACAAUUUAAACUUCCAAUAAAUUACAUUGAAACAGCUAAACCUGAAAUGCACUCGUGCUGUUCAAAGGUCGCGAGCGAAUUGAUUUAUCUAGCCCUGGCCGGGUCCAGGGGGGUCCUGCGCAAUGCUCGGGAUUGCAUCCUCUCCCCCGCCCUACCCCGCCCGGGACUCGCAACCCCCGCCCCCAGAGAGCUCCCGCCUCCCCGUAACCUUCACCGGUGCAUCCCUGGACGAUAGCCAGGUACAUGAAAGGGGAGGAAGCGGGAGGCUGCCGCCCACUUGUCGAGCCACCCCGGGCUGCCUGAAGGCGGGGGUGGCCUGUCGUCAGAUGACCUUGAAGCGUUAUUUGAAGGAUGCAGGGAACGCAUCCCGGGAAAGCUAUAUCAAUAAAAUAUGACAUUAUAAUA